CUACAUUAAUGAGUACAAACAUACACAACUAAAACAUUAGGCAUUCAAGAAUUUAAAAAUAUCAAAUAGGUCCUAAUUUUUAUGAUCAAGAGAAAUAAUACCAAGUAGUCCUCUUAGGAAAGAAAAUCUGUCUUCAAGUAAAGGCUUAGUGAAAAUAUCUGCUAACUGAUCAGUAGUUCCAACAAAUGAUAAUUCUAUACCCUUGAAG
This 208-nucleotide long non-coding RNA is filed under the name Nicotiana benthamiana. RNAcentral describes it as "long non-coding RNA (NBEN_LNC023244)". Lineage: Eukaryota; Viridiplantae; Streptophyta; Magnoliopsida; Solanales; Solanaceae. The record is from RNAcentral.